Molecule: ribosomal RNA, 468 nt
Filed under: uncultured bacterium
Lineage: Bacteria
Description: partial 16S ribosomal RNA
Rfam family: Bacterial small subunit ribosomal RNA
Source: RNAcentral
GACGAACGCUGGCGGCGUGCUUAACACAUGCAAGUCGAACGGAAAGGCCCUGCUUUUGUGGGGUGCUCGAGUGGCGAACGGGUGAGUAACACGUGAGUAACCUGCCCUUGACUUUGGGAUAACUUCAGGAAACUGGGGCUAAUACCGGAUAGGAGCUCCUGCUGCAUGGUGGGGGUUGGAAAGUUUCGGCGGUUGGGGAUGGACUCGCGGCUUAUCAGCUUGUUGGUGGGGUAGUGGCUUACCAAGGCUUUGACGGGUAGCCGGCCUGAGAGGGUGACCGGCCACAUUGGGACUGAGAUACGGCCCAGACUCCUACGGGAGGCAGCAGUGGGGAAUAUUGCACAAUGGGCGGAAGCCUGAUGCAGCAGCGCCGCGUGCGGGAUGACGGCCUUCGGGUUGUAAACCGCUUUCGCCUGUGACGAAGCGUGAGUGACGGUAAUGAGUAAAGAAGCACCGGCUAACUACGUG